GACGAACGCUGGCGGCGUGCUUAACACAUGCAAGUCGAACGGAAAGGCCCUGCUUGCAGGGUGCUCGAGUGGCGAACGGGUGAGUAACACGUGGGUGAUCUGCCCCCUACUUUGGGAUAAGCCUGGGAAACUGGGUCUAAUACUGGAUAGGACCAUGCUGUCGGUGGUGUGGUGGAAAGAUUAGUUUCGGUAAGGGAUGAGCUCGCGGCCUAUCAGCUUGUUGGUGGGGUAAUGGCCUACCAAGGCGUCGACGGGUAGCCGGCCUGAGAGGGUGGACGGCCACAUUGGGACUGCGGUACGGCCCAGACUCCUACGGGGGGCAGCAGUGGGGAAGAUUGCAGAAUGGGCGCAAGCCUGAUGCAGCGACGCCGCGGGGGGGAUGACGGCCUUCGGGUUGUAAACUCCUUUCUGCCAUGACGAAGCCCUUGUGGUGACGGUAGUGGUAGAAGAAGCACCGGCUAACUACGUG
Molecule: ribosomal RNA, 469 nt
Filed under: uncultured bacterium
Lineage: Bacteria
Description: partial 16S ribosomal RNA
Rfam family: Bacterial small subunit ribosomal RNA
Source: RNAcentral